CAUUCCUCACCCCUACUACCUCAAACCAAACGCCCACAAGUUGCUCUCACAGGUAAUCCGUCGCGGUGUUUCUAUCGUAACAUAGGGCUUGCGGCAGCUGCGCGACCCUCCGACGAUCGCGUAAUGGCAUGGGGGCGACGAAACCGUGGGACUGGAUGUAGCCUCCGCCGGCCUCCAUGUCACCGAGCGCAUCGGCAGGGACGUCGCCGGCCGCCUCGACCUCGAGGAGGCUAUCGAAGCCUCGCUCUAUGCUAGCCUCCCCCUACUCCACCCUCCCCAAAGAGAUAUGCUUGGAAAUGCACAACUUUUCAGAUUAUUCUGUGUGAAGCUUUUUCUAGAGGUGGAGUUGCAGAAGCAUGUUCUGUAGUAAAGAGGGUCGGUUCAAAUAUCUAUACUGGAGUGGAGGGUCGCUUGUCUUUAGAGAUUAUUUAUCUUCAUCUUGAAAUGGCUGCUUCGCAAUGUAUGAAUAUUCUACAAACAAGCCUCAUCAUACGUGCUAGAGCCCUUCUUGCUGCUUGUAAGGUUGAACCAAAGCCUGUAUUAAGCACAUAUGAUCAGCUUUUAUCAUAUGGAGCUAUUUUACCUUUGCCAAAGCUGAAACUUCGCUGUCUGAGAUCUGUUCUUGCUGUACUCUGUGAGUGGGUUGGGUCUGUAUUUGCACAUACAUAAUGGACCACAGCUGUUGGCGCUUCUCCAAUCCUUGGUGGAUUACUCUUGUUACAACAGACAGCAAUCAUCAACCAAGGAGCUCGAGAUAAGAUAACCAGUUUAGCAAAUGGGCAUACGGUCUCGUUACGUGAAGGGUUUAGGUCCAUUACCUAAACUAUCUGUAGUGGGUGGUUCUAGAGCCACAAACAUCAGUUCAAAACAUCAUGAUGAUUAUGAAAAAUUUGCAACUAUGCAGAAAACAAUCGAUGAACAGAAUCUGACUAUACGUGAGCAACAUCAAAAAUUUGAAGCAUUAUUGCACCAACUUCAACAGGUCAUUCCUAGCUUCUCAUUCCAACCUCCACCAACAUGCUCUUCAAUUCGACCUCCUCCACCACCUCCCUCGCCUCCAGCAUCAACUAUGUAGUUUUUUAUUUUGCAAGAUUAUGUAAUGCGCAUUUUACUACUCAUGUUCUUUUGGAUAAUAUUUGACUAAUUGUGUUCAUGUUUUAAAAAUAUUUGACUAAUUAAUAGUAAAUUGCACUUUUAUGA
Molecule: RNA transcript, 1200 nt
Organism: Zingiber officinale
Lineage: Eukaryota; Viridiplantae; Streptophyta; Magnoliopsida; Zingiberales; Zingiberaceae
Gene name: nuclear pore complex protein NUP155-like
Exons: 4
Source: RefSeq, a predicted model, not a curated record